GACGGAGGAUGCAAGCGUUAUCCGGAAUGAUUGGGCGUAAAGCGUCCGCAGGUGGCAGUUCAAGUCUGCUGUCAAAGACCGGGGCUUAACUUCGGAAAGGCAGUGGAAACUGAGCAGCUAGAGUAUGGUAGGGGCAGAGGGAAUUCCUGGUGUAGCGGUGAAAUGCGUAGAUAUCAGGAGGAACACCGAUGGCGAAGGCAGGUCUCUGGGCCGCAACUGACGCUGAGGAGCGAAAGCAUGGGGAGCGAACAGG
RNAcentral lists this ribosomal RNA (253 nucleotides) under uncultured bacterium. RNAcentral describes it as "partial 16S ribosomal RNA". It matches the Rfam family "Bacterial small subunit ribosomal RNA", at positions 524 to 776 of the family's 1533-position model. The record is from RNAcentral.